UACAGAGGGGGCAAGCGUUAUUCGGAAUUAUUGGGCGUAAAGGGCGCGUAGGCGGCUUGGCAAGUGGAAGGUGAAAUCCCUCGGCUUAACCGAGGAACUGCCCUCCAAACUGCUUUGCUUGAGGCCGGGAGAGGUGAGUGGAAUUCCCAGUGUAGCGGUGAAAUGCGUAGAUAUCGGGAGGAACACCUGAGGCGAAGGCGGGCUACUGGGCUGAUACUGACGCUGAUGCGCGAAAGCCGGGGGGGCAAACGGG
RNAcentral lists this ribosomal RNA (253 nucleotides) under uncultured prokaryote. RNAcentral describes it as "partial 16S ribosomal RNA". It matches the Rfam family "Bacterial small subunit ribosomal RNA", at positions 524 to 776 of the family's 1533-position model. The record is from RNAcentral.